CCCAAAUGAAGACUAUGAAUUAUGUUGGGCUAAAUAACAUUCCUUAAUUGUAAACCAGUUGGGCUUCCAACAUUAAAACAGGCCCAAACUAGAAAGAAACCAGUAGCCAAAACAUUGAAAAUAAAUAAUUAGAGGUUUGGCGACGUUAAUUGUUACCUGACGGGUCGCCGGAAAAGCUGUGGUGGCUUUAUAAAUCCGAUAUGAUGUGUGAAGAUGGUGUGAC
This 223-nucleotide long non-coding RNA is filed under the name Helianthus annuus (common sunflower). RNAcentral describes it as "sRNA HanXRQr2_Chr13g0615741". Lineage: Eukaryota; Viridiplantae; Streptophyta; Magnoliopsida; Asterales; Asteraceae. The record is from RNAcentral.